AUCUGGCAUUCCAUAAUCAAGUCAGAGAAUGAAGGAGCAGCUCUCCUGACAAAACCACCAAUUAUCUUUCUUACAUAUUCACACUUGAGAGAGAUUUCUAGUUUCUCUACCUUUUCUUUUUAGAACUCCCAUAAGCUAUUCGCUAAAGCUCCCAUUUUCCAAUUUAUGGUUUUAAUGAGGUAUUUAGGUCUGGAUUCCUGAUAUUUUAUAAUCAUUCAACAUUUUUUGAAACCUAAGAGAUAAAUUACAUUGUAGGUUAUCUGCAAUUAAAAAAGGUACACAAUUUUAUUUGACAAUACACAAAGCCUAUUCCUAUCUGCACAAUAACAAUAUCAAAAAAUUGGAUUGUUGCUCAAAACUUCAACUCCAGGCUUCAAAUUAAUGGAGCCCAAGAAGAAAAGUGAACAGCAAAUGGGUGGAAAAAAUAGAGGGAAAAAUAACUCUUCAAAAACAUCCAGAUAUAAAAACCAUAAGAAAACAUUCUUCGGAGUAUGAAUCACACUGCUCUAGACUCCAUUGUCUUCUAAGGGCAACUCCUCAGAAAGCUCUUACAAAGCCCCAAUAAGAAAUUGGCAGGGAAGUCAUAAUAGUAUCUGAUUCAGAAAACUGAUCCAAGAAUAAAAUUUCAUUUCCUCUCCGACAUUGAAUACAUGUGACAAUAGCUCAGGUCAGAUAUACAUAUGUGAAGAUGCACAAUUGCUGUGAAAUUAUGUCACCAAGUUUCA
Molecule: unclassified non-coding RNA, 725 nt
Filed under: Hevea brasiliensis (rubber tree)
Lineage: Eukaryota; Viridiplantae; Streptophyta; Magnoliopsida; Malpighiales; Euphorbiaceae
Source: RNAcentral